AGAGCGAACGCUGGCGGCAGGCCUAACACAUGCAAGUCGAACGGACUCUUCGGAGUUAGUGGCGGACGGGUGAGUAACACGUGGGAACGUGCCUUUAGGUUCGGAAUAAGCCCGGGAAACUGGGUCUAAUACCGAAUGUGCCCUUCGGGGGAAAGAUUUAUCGCCUUUAGAGCGGCCCGCGUCUGAUUAGCUAGUUGGUGGUGUAAUGGACCACCAAGGCGACGAUCAGUAGCUGGUUUGAGAGGACGACCAGCCACACUGGGACUGAGACACGGCCCAGACUCCUACGGGAGGCAGCAGUGGGAAUUUGGACAAUGGGGAACCCUGAUCCAGCCAUCCCGCGUGUGCGAUGAAGGCCUUGG
This 362-nucleotide ribosomal RNA is filed under the name uncultured soil bacterium. RNAcentral's name for it is "bacterial SSU rRNA". It matches the Rfam family "Bacterial small subunit ribosomal RNA", at positions 26 to 420 of the family's 1533-position model. The record is from RNAcentral.